Molecule: long non-coding RNA, 2016 nt
Organism: Rhagoletis pomonella (apple maggot)
Lineage: Eukaryota; Metazoa; Arthropoda; Insecta; Diptera; Tephritidae
Exons: 3
Source: RefSeq, a predicted model, not a curated record
GAUAAUUUUUUUCAUUUCCUCGCAAAUAUUUCUUAUUGUCUACAUAUUAUUUGUAUUUAACAGAAACGUGGCUUUUUGGAUUAUCUGCUGUCGGGACUCGUUGAAUAUUUUGAUUACAGCGAUGAAGAUGACUCUGAAGAGGAUGAAAAAUACUUGAUAUGUCGAAAUUGCACAAUUCUUAUUAGCCAGCAAGAUAGUCACAUAAGCGCCGCGGUGCGACCAACUGUUGCUCCCGCAUCUUUGGAAGGCGAAAAUAAGUACCCAAAUGGAGUAGCCACUACUGUACCAAGCGCACCUGUGACAGCUGCAGCACCCAGUGACACGGCUUCAAUAGCACCCACGCCAAUUCCAUAAGGAACAUUAAAAGUCAACAUUAAAUAAGAGUAUGCUUCAAUUUUAAAAUAAGAGUUUAAGUGGUUGUAGGUACAAUAUGGUUUAUUCAACACGGGGGUUUUUACAUUUUAUCGAUAACAACCAGCAUAUCGCUCAUUAACUUCAAUAUUUAGUGUCAUAACUCAAGAAAGCAAAACUCGUGAAAAACGGCUUUAAAGUUUUGAAUAUACUCCUAUAGUAAAACUGAAUACAUAAUUUGUUCCACAUAGUGAGAUAUUGGUAAUCGAUAGAGCUAGGGAAUUUUUACACAACAUAGAAAGAGAGGUAGUGGUAUUUUUUUGCAUACUCCACUCAGUUUUUAAUUUUUUAUAUUAAGACACAAUCGAGGUAAAUGAGCGAUAUGUUUUAUAAAUAUUGCACAUGUAUGUACAUACAAACAUUUAUAACGACCGCUUUGCGCUAAAUUAUCGUAAGUUACAACAACCUAAUUUUACAGGAAAGUGUUUUUUUUUUGUAUUUUUCUCUGCUUUGGCUAGCACCAUCAAUACUAAAGUUUAGAUUUGCUGAGAUAAUUGAGAAAUAUAACUAAACGCAAAAUUUUUUUGUAGACAAGUUUUCAUAUUCUAAUUUCUUAGCAGAUACAAUAAUUUCGCCCACAAGAAAAAAACUCAUUGUUACAUACGACAAAAAUUUACAAUGAAUUUUUGUGGUAGCUAUUGGGAUCUAAGCCGUAAUAUUUGAACAGGUGAUGCGUUAUGGGGUGUGGAACAAAGUUACAUCAAAAAGUGAAUUUCGUACAAAUUUAACAUACGAUACUUUGGCGCAAAGGGGUCGAUAUGUACUUAUACACACGAAAUAACGAAACAAAUGAUUUUAAGAAAAAAAUUAGUCAGACAUAAAACAUGAAACAGGCAAAUAAAUGUCACCAGUACGGCGAAAAGGAGGCAUUAAAAACUAAAUAGAAUUAAAAAAAAGUCAGAAAAGACAUUAGCUUAAGAACUUUUUGUUACAACAAAACUAAACCUAAAUAAAUACAUAAGCUGCAGGAAAAAUUGAUGUAAACUUGAUCAAAAACUGUUCAAACUGUUUAUGUUCAGAGACCCACCACAGCGUUACAAUAUUGUGGGCUCUUAGGUGGCUUAAGAGAGUUUUCUACAAGCCUUGAUGGCGUUCUUAAUAAGUCUAACGCCUUUAAUGCUGCCUGACUAUCUGACAUAAUGUAAAUUCUGGCCCCAUUUAUUGUUCUGCGAAGACAAUCUCGAAUAUCUUGGUUCAAGUUCUCUAUAGAUAUGCAUUUUUCAUAAUUUUAUGUACCUGAAGAUGACUUCAGAUUGAAGUCGACAUACAUAUUGACAAAUCAAUGCAAAUACAUUAUAAAAUUAUGUGUUUAAUUUAGAUACAUAUAUAUGUACGUAUGUAUGUACAUCUGGCCUUGAGCUCACCAAAAGCUAAUACUAUGCUUACACGCAUAAAUAUGGAUAUGUGUAACAGUACAUUUGUGCAUACGUACUUAAUUAAGUGGCGCUAAAACCGAAGAACCACCAAAAAAAAAAACGAAAACAUUUAUUCAUAACAUCUUGACAAACACGGUGGUUUCACUCUUCAAAAAGUUGUACAUAAUUCAAAAGAGCAAAAAUUUUGUGGCGCUACACUGCAGCAUAAUAGGGGAAUUUUAUUUGUUGG